AGCAAACGCGGUAAGUACCCCGCCUGGGGAAUACGGCCGCAAGGCUAAAACUCAAAAGAAUUGACGGGGGCCCGCACAAGCGGUGGAGCAUGUGGUUUAAUUCGACGCAACGCGAAGAACCUUACCAGGGCUUGACAUCCCGUGACGUUUAUAGAAAUAUAAAUUUCCUUCGGGACACGGAGACAGCUGGUGCAUGGUUGUCGUCAGCUCGUGUCGUGAGAUGUUGGGUUAAGUCCCGCAACGAGCGCAACCCUUAUCGUAUGUUACCAGCACCUAGGGUGGGGACUCAUACGAGACUGCCGGUGAUAAACCGGAGGAAGGUGGGGAUCACGUCAAAUCAUCAUGCCCCUUAUGCUCUGGGCUACACACGUGCUACAAUGGCCGAUACAGAGGGCAGCGAAGCCGCGAGGUGGAGCAAAUCUUAUAAAGUCGGUCCAAGUUCGGAUUGCAGCAUGCAACUCGCCUGCAUGAAGUCGGAAUCGCUACUCAUCUCAGGUCAGCAUACUGCGGUGAUACAUUCACGGGCAUUGUACACACCGCCCGUCACACCACGAA
This 555-nucleotide ribosomal RNA is filed under the name uncultured organism. RNAcentral describes it as "bacterial SSU rRNA". It matches the Rfam family "Bacterial small subunit ribosomal RNA", at positions 850 to 1408 of the family's 1533-position model. The record is from RNAcentral.